Non-coding RNA from Petromyzon marinus (sea lamprey), 1396 nucleotides. The record is from RefSeq and is a predicted model, not a curated record. NCBI's taxonomy places the organism in Eukaryota, Metazoa, Chordata, Hyperoartia, Petromyzontiformes, Petromyzontidae.
CACAUGAUGGCAACCCCCCCUCACCCACACCCCUCAUUAAUAAUCACGAGCUGAACAAUUUUUCUAUUCAAUAUUUCAGACUCACUGUAAUAUACAGUACAACCUUUCCUUGGACGGGGGCGGGGGGGCAAAACAAACCAAAAGCUAGUAUUUAAAAUAUUUUCUGAAAUUAGCAAUAUUCGUUUCAACUGCCGCGCCGGGAGAUAAACAUCCAACCGGCGUGCUGCGUGUGGUGGUUGCCGACCGUUUAACAGCCCCCGGGGGCAGGUCUCCUGCCUUCGCUGCAACAUCAACGACAACAACGACAACAUCAACGACAACAACGAAAACACAACAGAGCGGAGCACGUGUGCACAGUCCGAGAUCCUUCCACAUGGACGCCUCCAUGGACGUUUUCGCCGGCGGUGAUUUCCGCAGAGCAGGCCCUCAGCUGCAGCAGCGAUUUGUGAACCACGCGGCCGGAGACGGCGGUGUGGACAUUGGGGCUGUGGCCGGCGCUGGCGCCUGGGUUGAUGCCGGCGCUGGCGCCUGGGGCGGUGCUGGGGCCGGGGCUGGCGCCAGGGCUGGCGCUGUUGUCGGUGCUGGCGCUGGUGACUCAUGGCGCAGACGUCGCUGUCGCCCUGAAUUUGGCGUCGCGCUGCGCAGAAGCAUGCGGGUCGCUACGAUGGCGCUGCGGCGCAACCUGCGUCGUUUCCAGCAUCAGCUACGGCAGCGGCAGCAGAUGGGGCGAGCAUAAGUGCAGCAUCCAUGAGCCUGUCGAAAGAAAGAAUACGAACACAAUUUCCCAGACCUGUUGAUGAUAAAUACAAAGAUACCCCGUAUAGCCUUUAACGGACUGUUGGGACGAGUGCAGUUCGCGAACACUUCAUGAAGGCUGGAAUGGCACACGAGGGGGUGGGUGACCAACUGCACGCCCAGCCACGAACACUACACAAUACAAGUAAACCCACAGUCCUCCCAACCCACACACACCCACAUGUACAAAAGUGGUCAACUGAUUUAACUAAAUAAACUUGAAAAUGGAACUUGAUAUGGACUGUCAUUCACUGUCGUUGAUAAUGAACAACAUUUACACGGGGCAAGAGUUCUGUUUUAUUUCCUUCUGACCAAAAUAAAUUACACAAAGCCACAUCGAGGUGCAUCAGCUAAGGGCCCUUGAGGGCGAAUAACUCCUAAGAGCAACUUUCCUUGAGAUUAAGUCAACAGGAUUCUAUUCUACAGUGUUCUUGCACACGAUGGCCGCAAUAUGUUCAGGAGCUAAACGCCAACGUCUGCUGGCCAUGACGAGAGGGCUUCCGCGAGGGAGUUCCGUGUCGUUCUCAUGUUCCUCUUCCAUUGAAGGAACAGCAGACCACAGUGAUUCACUUACGUCAGGGGUGGGGAACGUCCGGCCCGC